This 82-nucleotide transfer RNA is filed under the name Pteropus alecto (black flying fox). It matches the Rfam family "tRNA". From Rfam's summary of the family: Transfer RNA (tRNA) molecules are approximately 80 nucleotides in length. Lineage: Eukaryota; Metazoa; Chordata; Mammalia; Chiroptera; Pteropodidae. The record is from Rfam by way of RNAcentral.
GGCUCCAUAGUUUAGUGGUUAGCACUUCUGCUUUAUACACAGAAGGUCCUGGGUUCCUGGGUUCGCACCCCAGGUGGAUCCA